RNAcentral lists this ribosomal RNA (253 nucleotides) under uncultured bacterium. Its description in RNAcentral is "partial 16S ribosomal RNA". It matches the Rfam family "Bacterial small subunit ribosomal RNA", at positions 524 to 776 of the family's 1533-position model. The record is from RNAcentral.
UACGUAGGUGGCAAGCGUUGUCCGGAUUUAUUGGGUUUAAAGGGUGCGUAGGCGGCCCUGUAAGUCAGUGCUGAAAUAUCCCAGCUUAACUGGGAGGGUGGCAUUGAUACUGCGGGGCUAGAGUACAGAUGAGGUAGGCGGAAUUUACGGUGUAGCGGUGAAAUGCGCAGAUAUCGGGAGGAACACCUAUGGCGAAGGCAGCUCGCUGGGACGUUACUGACGCUGAGACGCGAAAGCGUGGGGAGCAAACAGG